RNAcentral lists this long non-coding RNA (627 nucleotides) under Medicago truncatula (barrel medic). Its description in RNAcentral is "long non-coding RNA (MTRU_LNC002829)". The record is from RNAcentral. Lineage: Eukaryota; Viridiplantae; Streptophyta; Magnoliopsida; Fabales; Fabaceae.
CUCUUGAACUUUAUCAUGCUGUUAAUAAAAGUUAUAAUGAUUCUCGGAACCCUAAAUCCGCCGCCGUAACUACACCGUCUUCCUCCGCAGCCUCUGAUCGCGAUGGUACUCCUUCUCCUCUUGGUAGCCCUCGCACCGCCAUCUUCGGCAACGGUAAUUUUUAAUUAAUUGUUAUCAUUAAAUUCAUUUCUCUACUUUCAUCAAAUUCUCAAUCAAUUAACUAGUUUAUUUAACUCUUGGAAUACAUUGAAUCAAUUCAUUUACAAUUUUUUUUACUGGUGUGGACAUGUCUGUGUAUGUGCUUUAUUGUUUAUUACUAAUCAAUUUUGAAUUAAGAAUGGUGUUUAUUUUUGCUGAUUAAGUUUGUUAUUAUUGUUUUUUUAUGUGUGUUAUGUUAUGAAGAUGAUGAUCCACAAACGGUGAAGACAAGGUUGAGACAGUGGGCACAGGUUGUUGCUUGUGCGGUUCGUCAAAGUUGAAUGAUUAUGCAUGAUGAUUGUUGUGAUGGCAAUGAUGAUGGAGCAUGAAUGGGUGAUUAUUGAUGAUUAACCGGAGAAAAAUCCAACCAUGGUUAUUAAUUUAACCAUACAAGUUACAAUCAUGUGUGAUAUAAAAUGACAAAAUUUC